GAAACUAUUAAUCUCUCUUGACAUUUUUUAUCAACUGUCCCAUCUGUUCUAUUCUUUUGACAACAGCACUGCCCAAUAUUUCAUUCUUUGCUAUCUGCUUUUAGAAACAAGUUCUCUCCCAAUCUUCUUAGUUUGGGUUUCUUGCCCAUUGUUCUUCUGCUCUCAUAUCACAGUGAAUCGGUUCCUCAUUCUCUAGGUAAUUUCUCUCGCUAUUCUGUAGUGCCUCAUUUGCGGUAUUAUGGGCUUUUGUGUUUUUUUGUUUUCUGUAUGUGUUUGAACUCGAUCUUCUGGAAAUAUGGUUUCUUGCUCUGGAUAUCUCUGAUAAUUGCUCCAAUAACUAAGUAAUCAGUUGCAGUUGAAUGACAUUUCUUGAUUACUGUUAAUGAAUCGCCCAUUAUUUGUAUUUCUUGUAAACCCAUUUCGAUACCUAACUUGACUGCUUCUAACCCUGCAAAUGUUUCCGCGGCAAACAGAGAAGCAACAUUGCGAUGAAUAAUCGAUUUCAAAGCCAAUACCUCCUUCUUCAGACCCCUGACCACCAACCCCGACGAUGAUUUGAACUCUCUGUUGUUGAACACAACAUCAAACUGGAUCUUCACGGUCGGUAAGUCUUUCACAUUUCUUUAAUUUUGCACUGUAUGUGAUAAAGUCGACUUAACUUUAAUCCCUUUGUAUUCUGCCAUGUGGUUCUGAAUUUUUCGUGCAAGUUCUCUGCUCGUUGUGUGUACCCGUUCAUGCAAAAGUUGAUUCCUUGAAUGCCAAAGUAUCCAUAAGACAUAACAAAAAUAUCUGCAUUGUUCGUUUGUUCCUUAUUUGAAAACCACGGUGAGCCACUCCUAGAAAUUUUGAUGCACGAAAGUUGUGACCCAAGUAAGGUUUAAUAGCUGCCAGACCUCUAUGCUUGUGGAACAUUGCCGAAAAAUAUGAUGACAAUCUUCAUUUUCAUAACAUACCUAGGGCAUCUGGCAUUUGUCACUAAUCUUCUAUGCCGGAGAUUGCCCAAAGUAGGAAUGUAAUUCCAUGAAAUACGCCAGAUUAUGAUUGUAAUCUUAGACGGUAGUUGUAGUUUCCAUAGUUUCUAAAAAAUUUCUUGGUUUCGAUCUGUAACAAAUAAUGACUAGGAUUCAGAUUAACAAUUUGUAAUAGUUUAUAGGCGCUACGGACUGAGUAUUCCUCUGUUGGUUCGCCCCUCCAGACUUGGAAGUCCUCGUGCACUGAUUCCGAUAGUGGGAUCUGUAGGAUUGUGCGAGCAACCUCCGGGUGAAAGGUGUUGUUGAUCAGCUCUUCUUUUCAUUUCCUAGUUGUAGUAUCAAUAAGAUCCGAAACAAAUUCUAGUUGCAUACUAUCUAACUUGUUGUACCUUUUCAGUGAUUCCAUUUCUUGGACCCAUCGAUCAUUCCAGAUGGAUACUUUGUUCCCUUUACCGAUUCGCUAGCUUAGGCUUUGUUUAGCUGCCCAAAUGCUCUUCUAGGUAAGUGAAGGUAAAGUUCCUAAUUGAACCUCUAAGAAAGUCAAAUGCGAAUAAUAUUUUACUUUUAAAACCCUGACUAGUAAUGAAUUAGGAUAAUGAAUCGAAUGCCAUCUUUGUUUAGCAAGUAACGUAACAUUAAAUUGACUCAAAUUUCGAAAGCCUAGGCCGCCAUUCUCUUUUAAAAAACAAAGAUUUUUCCAAGUACACCAAUGAAUUCCCCUUUUCCCAUGUCCCUUCUGCCACCAAUACUUCGUUAUAAUAUUUUCAAGAUCAUCACAAAGGGAAUUAGGUAAUAGAAAACAUGCCAUCGUAUAAGUCGGAACUGCUUGAAGAAUUACUUUAAUAAAGACUUCUUUACCUCUUUGCGAUAAAAACUUGGUACUCUAAUUAUCAAUACGUUUUUUAAGGUGGUCCUUCAAAUUCUG
Molecule: long non-coding RNA, 1896 nt
Filed under: Gossypium barbadense (sea-island cotton)
Lineage: Eukaryota; Viridiplantae; Streptophyta; Magnoliopsida; Malvales; Malvaceae
Description: long non-coding RNA (GBAR_LNC009959)
Source: RNAcentral